GUAUAGUUUGGACUGUGUACUGUAAAAAGUGAAAACCCUAAUGUAUCAUCACUCUUUUCAUUUUACUCCCCAACACAAGGAGAGUGAUUGGUUGAAAGAGAAUCGGGAGAGAGGGGAUCCGAACACACUUUGGCUGCCCCCUUAGCGAUGAUGGGUGGUGGUUUCUAUCCGGAUGGUGAUGAUGAAGAACGGUGGUGGUGGUGGUUCGAGCAACCGGUGAUUGGAAAAAAAAUUGGAGGUCGGAGUGGCGGUGGUUGCGGGUGGAGUUUGCGGCGGUGGUGUUUGAGCGUUGAGGGGGCGAACGGUGGUGGUCAAAGCUUGCUCUUGCUUCAGAAAAGGUUGGUGACUCACACGAAACGGCUCGACUGGAACACUAGGAUGAAUAUAAUAGCAGCUGGUGCAGAAAGAGGGUUAGAGUAUUUACAUGACAAUUGAACCCAUCGGUCGGGAUAUGAAGAGUCCAAAUAUUUUUCUAGGUGAGGAUUAUCAUGUAAAAAUAUCGGACUUUGGCUUGGCAAAAGUGGGCGCGCUUGGAGAAAAAACUCUUGUUUCGACCCGAGUGAUGGGCAUUUAUGGGUAUUGUUGCAAUUAAGGGACAACUCACUAAAGGUUUUUCUCUUUUUCUAUUUUAAUUUAGUUCUUUUUAGUUUCUUUUAAUGUUUUAGGUUAGCUGUUACCUUGGAAGGAAUUUGGGCUGGCUCACAACAAAGGCAUUGAAACUGGCCUCGACCUGUAACAUGGGUAUGAUAUAGGCGACACUUCUAUGAACAAGAGGUUUAAACUUAGUAUGUUUUGUUUACAAGAUCCUCUUUAUGACAUUGAUUACAUGCUUAUAUGUUUUUCAAAUAAAGUGCGAGUUGAUUGAACAAUUACAUGUAAUGUUUCAUGAUUAGUUAAUUUAAGGUUUUUAAAACUAUUUCUAUCCAAUCUGUACCCUUGGUAAAUAAAUAUACAAUGUCUACUAGGGGCAUGUGUAUAUUGUGUUUGAAGCUGUUUGGAAUAGAUGAAUGACACUGCUACAUCUUAUGUUGGAUUUCGAUGUUGUGUAGUGCCAGGCAACUUACUUGACAAUUCUGUCCUUUUUUCCAUGAUGUUAUUUAAGUUUUUUUUUUAUUUUAAGGUGAGCAAUAGAGCUCCAGAAUAUUGAUUAUCACAACAAAUACAUAACAAAUAGAUAAAGACUAAUCUUGAUUUUUUUGCUGACCCAUAAUGUCAUUCUUGUUGGUUGAGUAUUUUUGUAUGUUUUUAAUGUUUAUGCCGUGUUUACGAGUGUCUAAUGUACUGACUGAUGGUAUAUUUUAUUAGUUAUGAAUAUCUGGUCAUGUGUACUCUUUUGCGGUUGCCUUCUUAUCUCUGGUUGCUACUAUUAUUGCUAAUCAGUUUGUGCUUUUGCUUUCAAAGAAGGGAAGGGGGAAUGAUAGGGACGCCAAACACCUUUUGUACAAUUGCCAAGUAGGAAAAAGACCGCAACUACAGGCCGUAGUUCAGCAAACCACAUCGUCAAGGAAAGUAUCUUUUGCGCAACUUAUGUAACUAACAUGCAUGGUGUUAACAACCUAAGUUGAGACCAUAAUACAUAUACAAAUCUAGGCAUAAACUCUUGGUUGCAGCUCAUGUAUCUAACUUGAUGGAAAUAUAAAUCUAGCCCCCGUCGCAUCGCGGCGGGUUACUUUUCUAGUUAA
Helianthus annuus (common sunflower) is the source of this 1682-nucleotide long non-coding RNA. RefSeq lists it as uncharacterized. The transcript has 3 exons. Lineage: Eukaryota; Viridiplantae; Streptophyta; Magnoliopsida; Asterales; Asteraceae. The record is from RefSeq and is a predicted model, not a curated record.